This 1099-nucleotide unclassified non-coding RNA is filed under the name Hevea brasiliensis (rubber tree). Lineage: Eukaryota; Viridiplantae; Streptophyta; Magnoliopsida; Malpighiales; Euphorbiaceae. The record is from RNAcentral.
CCCAAAUUAGGAGUUAUUUUUUCAAGUUUGCAAGAAGAGCAAAUGGAGUCAACGCCGGAAAAAUUGAACUUUGGAAAUUCUCUGUUAGUACCAAGUGUUCAAGAGCUUGCCAAACAGCACCUAACCAUUAUCCCAGACAGGUAUCUCCAGCCAGAGCAAGAAACUCCGGUCAUUUCCGCCGGAGCGGAGGUUCCAGUUAUCGAUGUUCAAAAGUUGAUUUCAGGUGAUUCCAUGGAUUCUGAGCUGCAAAAGCUUCACUCUGCUUGCCAACAAUGGGGUUUCCUACAGGUUAUAAACCAUGGGGUGACACCUUUGCUCUUGGAGGACUUCAAGAGAGAGGUUAUUGAAUUGUUCAAACUUCCAAUGGAAGAAAAGAAGAAGCUAUGGAAACAGGAAGACAGCUUGGAAGGUUUCGGGCAUGCAUUCGUUGUGUCUGAAGAGCAGAAACUUGAUUGGAGUGACAGGUUUGGCAUACUGACUCUUCCUCCUCAUAUCCGCAAAGUGGAUUUGUUUCAGAAGUUGCCCUCGAAGCUCAGGGAUAUCAUGGAAGCAUACUGCAAAGAAAUUAAGAGCCUAGCAACGAGCAUUAUAUGUCAAUUGGCAAAGGCUUUAAGGAUGGACGAAGAGGAAAUGAGAGAUCUAUUCAAUGAUGGUAUGCAGACGCUGAGGAUGAAUUAUUAUCCGCCUUGCCCUGAGCCAGACAAGGCAAUUGGCAUAAGCCCUCAUUCUGAUGCCGAUGCCAUCACCAUCCUCUUCCAGCUCAAUGAAACUGAAGGUCUCCAAAUCCGGAAAGACGAUGUUUGGGUGCCUAUAAGGCCCCUCCCAAAUGCGUUGAUUGUGAAUAUUGGGGAUAUGAUGGAGAUAGUGAGCAAUGGUGUCUAUAGGAGCAUUGAGCAUAGAGCAAUCGUAAACUCAAAUGAAGAACGUCUCUCUGUUGCAACAUUCUGUGCGUUCAACCUUGAGUCUGAGCUAGGACCUGCACACAGCCUCGUUGGACCAUGUAAUCCUCCUAUUUUCCUAAGAGUUCCCAUGCACAAAUAUUUACAGGACUUUUUUGCACGAAAACUUGAAGGAAAGUCAUACCUUGAUUCCAUGAAGG